UGAUUGUAGGCUAUUUUGUACAUCAUUAAUAACAUACAAGGUUUCUUUAUUGUGUCUGACCCUGGCAUAAAAGUUUUAGAGGCCGGGCAUGGUGGCUCACACCUGUAAUCCUAGCACUUUGGGAGGCCAAGGCAGGUGGAUUGCCUGAGCCCAGGAGUUCAAGACCAGCCUGGGCAACAUGGUGAAACCCUGUCUCUACUAAAAAUACAAAAAAAUUCGCUGGGCAUGGUGGCAUGUGCCUGUAAUCCCAGCUACUUGGGAGGCUGAGGCAUGAGAAUUGCUUGAACCUGGGAGUGGAGGUUGCUGUGAGCCAAGAUCGUGCCACUGUACUCCAUCCUGGGCAACAGAGUGUGACUCAGUCUCAAAAGAUAAUAAAGAUAAUAUUUUUUUAAAAGUUUGAAAAAAAAGGUGAUAGCUAUCAACAGGUAUUAUUUUGGGGGGCUCCUGCUGUUUGCUAAGUACUGUGUCAAGGGCUUUACUUGCAUAACCUCAUUAAUUAUUCCUAACCCUAAGAAAUGAGUACAAUUAUUCCCAUUUUAUAGUUGAAGAAAUCAAGGAGCAGAAAUAUUCAGGAAUAUUUAGUCAGUAAUGGAGCUAGGAUUGGCUUCCAGGUCUUCCUGACGGCAAAGCCCAUGUUAUUCAUUCCAUUGUGUUGGAUCAAAAUUUUAGGAUGGGAUUUAAAAAAAAAAAUAAGGUGUGGGACUGUUACUCAAAGGAAACAGCUUCCAGGUAUUUGAUACUAAUUGUUCUUAAUUUUUACCUGAGCCAUAGCAACAUUACUGGCAGAAGCUAUCAAUGAUAUAUUUGUCAGUUAGCUAGGGCUGUGUUCUAUCCUGAGGUAGUUGUAGGCGAUGGCAUCUUUCCAUGGUCAAAGACCUCAGAUGUAGAAUGCGUAACUUGUGUUAACACAGGAGAGGGUGGCAUGUUCCAGAGCUCUAGUUCUAUACCAUGGAAGACCUCAAACCUCAAUCAUGCUUUAGACUCACAUUAAAGGGCAUCCUAAUUGGUAAUCAGUGCAUAAGGAACCAAAUAAAAUUUUAAUUAAAUGCUGUCGUGUGAAUUUUCCAGUCAUUUUAUGCCUGUUGAGACGGUUUUCUUAUUUAAAGUCCUCUUCUAGUGCUCUGCCUUCCCUCUUUAAACUUUAUCAAGAUUUUGUGCUUUUUCUCAUGUAAGGGUUUAAUUAGCAUCAUUAAAGUUUUAGUCUGCUGCAUAUUUGCUUAAUGGGCAUUUUGGUGCAGUGGAAAGAGCUUGGGGUUUGGAGUCCAAAGUGGGGAAGUUCCUUAAAUCUCUGUGAGCCUUAGUUUCUUCAUUCUGUAAAAUGAGGCAAAUAAUAU
This 1334-nucleotide long non-coding RNA is filed under the name Homo sapiens (human). RNAcentral's name for it is "HSALNT0155027". Lineage: Eukaryota; Metazoa; Chordata; Mammalia; Primates; Hominidae. The record is from RNAcentral.